Molecule: ribosomal RNA, 433 nt
Filed under: uncultured bacterium
Lineage: Bacteria
Description: partial 16S ribosomal RNA
Rfam family: Bacterial small subunit ribosomal RNA
Source: RNAcentral
AACGAACGCUGGCGGCAUGCCUAACACAUGCAAGUCGAACGAGACCUUCGGGUCUAGUGGCGCACGGGUGCGUAACGCGUGGGAACCUGCCCUUAGGUUCGGAAUAACUCCCCGUCAGGGGUGCUAAUACCGGAUAAUGUCUUCUGACCAAAGAUUUAUCGCCCUUGGAUGGGCCCGCGUUGGAUUAGCUAGUUGGUAGGGUAAAAGCCUACCAAGGCGACGAUCCAUAGCUGGUCUGAGAGGAUGAUCAGCCACACUUGGACUGAGACACGGCCCAGACUCUUACAGGAGGGAGGAGUGGGUAAUACAGGACAACGGGCUAAAGCCUGAUCCAGCAAUGCUUCGUGAGUGAUGAAGUUGUGAGAGAUGUACAGCACGUUUACCCGCGAUGAUAAUGACAGUACCGGAAGAAUAAGCUCCGGCUAACUUCGUG